GUAACUUUCAAAUUUGUACUGACGUAAAAUAAAAAUCAACGACUACUUUAAUAACCAAGCAAUUACUGUUAAACAUGAUUAAACACCCAAUUAUAUAAUUACGCCUUUAACGAUGCUCGAUUGUCUUUAAUGAGUUAUAUUUUUCAUAUUGGAAAAAUUUGUACCAAUCCUAAUACGACACCGAAUGAUUUCGAAAGAAUCGUCAAAGAUUCAGGCGUACUAUUACAAGAAUUUGAGUUUCUUCAGUGAACAAUUCAAUUAAAGAAUUCUUAAUAUUAAUAAUUGCGAAGCCUGUAGGCGAGGCAUGGCACAAAACAUGGGAAGCACUGGAUUAGAGGCUUAAAUCUCAGUUAAAACUAGGCGAGGCGACACUUCGGAAAUUAAACGGUAAUUUAGCGUUGAGUUGUUUAACAAUAAAGGGCAGUCAAUGUGUCUCAGUAGUCAAUGUGUUUAGACAGUACCGUGGUUAUAGUAACGAUGUUUUUACACAUAAAUAUAUUACAUAUAAAAACUCAUAUUUUUCUUCGUCAUUUUAUGAUAAAGGGAUAUGGUAUAGUUAUAUAUGGCAUACGUAAAAUAUUCGCGGGGUACGUAAAGGAAAAAAAAAGAGCGGGCCGGCCAAGAUGAAAGUGGGCUGAUGAUUUAAUAGAAAUAGCAGGAAAAGACUGCCAUACUAAAGGGCCAAGUGUCUAGAUAUAAGUAUAAGUUAAUAACACUACUAACAUUUGAAAUGGAACUUAAGGAUAUGGAAAUAAAAAAGGCUUUAUUAAUACGA
Pieris brassicae (large cabbage white) is the source of this 775-nucleotide long non-coding RNA. RefSeq lists it as uncharacterized. The record is from RefSeq and is a predicted model, not a curated record. The transcript has 2 exons. NCBI's taxonomy places the organism in Eukaryota, Metazoa, Arthropoda, Insecta, Lepidoptera, Pieridae.